Molecule: unclassified non-coding RNA, 253 nt
Filed under: uncultured Erysipelotrichaceae bacterium
Lineage: Bacteria; Bacillati; Bacillota; Erysipelotrichia; Erysipelotrichales; Erysipelotrichaceae
Description: contains 16S-23S intergenic spacer region
Rfam family: Bacterial small subunit ribosomal RNA
Source: RNAcentral
UACGUAGGUGGCAAGCGUUGUCCGGAAUUAUUGGGCGUAAAGAGGGAGCAGGCGGCAACAAAGGUCUAACGUUAAAAGGCAAUGGCUCAACCAUUGUAUGGCGAAGAAACCAUGUAGCUAGAGUUCUAAAGAGGAUCGUGGAAUUCCAUGUGUAGCGGUGAAAUGCGUAGAUAUAUGGAGGAACACCAGUGGCGAAGGCGACGAUCUGGAUAGAAACAGACGCUGAGUCCCGAAAGCGUGGGGAGCAAAUAGG